This 19-nucleotide small nuclear RNA is filed under the name Phaeodactylum tricornutum CCAP 1055/1. Its description in RNAcentral is "snRNA PTsRNA00030a". Lineage: Eukaryota; Bacillariophyta; Bacillariophyceae; Surirellales; Neidiaceae. The record is from RNAcentral.
UCGACUCUCGGCAGAAGCU